Molecule: long non-coding RNA, 1010 nt
Filed under: Callithrix jacchus (white-tufted-ear marmoset)
Lineage: Eukaryota; Metazoa; Chordata; Mammalia; Primates; Cebidae
Description: lncRNA (ENSCJAG00000070604.1)
Source: RNAcentral
AAGGAACUUGGGCAAUGAGGAAAUAGUGGUUCCCUUGGGAAACAGAAGAAGUACUGGGAGGAAGUACAGGGAGGACACAAAAAGAGACCUGGCCUACUUCUCAAUUUUUAUCUAGGAAUAGUUCUCCUCACAUUAAAGGCAUUUCCUUAUGUACACUUACAUGUAAACAAGUCAAGAUUCUUUCAAGAAACAACUGCUGAAACAGUUACAAAUUAGCUCCAUGUUAAAGGAAAUUGAACUGUGUAUGGUGCUGGAAGAGUUGACUUUCGAAUUCUUGGUUUGUGAUGAUUGACCAGAAACAUUUACUCAAUGUCUUUAUGAGUGUGAAGCUGUGCUAUCUUGGAAGAUGUGACAUUGGUGCACAGUCUACAUAAAUACAACUAAUAGUACCUUCAAGGGCAAAAAUCAGCCUGUGAAAAUGAAACCAAACUGACUGGAAACAGAAGGCACACACUAAAUGGAGGAUCUGAGGUACUAAAAGUUUAAAUAACUUGCUCUGGAUCAAGUAGAUGCAAACUCAGUUCUUCAAAUUUAAGCAGUCUUGUUCCAGAUUUCAUAUAAAACUCCUGCUUCUCGCCACUCCUUACCAAUCCUCAGGUGUUGGUAACAUGGACAGGAGGCACGAGGUUGUGCCUGGUGAGGCACUCCACCCUCAAGUCCUGGUGAGUGAUCCACCCUCAAGCCUGGACUUGUGGCCCUAAAUGUAAACAGGCAUUCUUGUUUUUGUACCCAAAUCUUGUCUUUAAGCCUGCUGUGCCCCCCACCCCAACCUGUGCCCAUAUAAACUGCAAAUCCCAGGCUUCACAAGCAGAAGCGCAGCAGAGUAGCAGAGAAGGAGAGAAGAGAGGAAGUGUUUUAACGCCAGAGGAGUUCUGCUGGGGCUGGUCAGAAAGGAGAUCAGCCGCAGGAUGGCUGAACUCCGGCAGAAGAUCAUUUUCCCAUUCCAUCCCCUCUCCAGCUACCCAUCCCAUCGAGAACCACCUCCAUCACUCAAUAAAAUCUCCCCAUUC